CAGCCGCCACGGUAAUACCAGCAGCCCAAGUGGUGGUCGCGUUUAUUGGGCCUAAAGCGCUCGUAGCCUGGCCGGUAAGUUCCCCGUGAAAUCGGGUCGCCCAACGAUUCGGCUUGCGGGGAAUACUGUCGGUCUUGGGGCCGGGAGACGCCGAGGGUACUCCGGGGGUAGCGGUGAAAUGCUGUAAUCCUCGGGGGACUACCAGUGGCGAAGGCGCUCGGCGAUAACGGGCCUGACGGUGAGGGGCGAAAGCUGGGGGCGCGAACGGGAUUAGAUACCCCGGUAGUCCCUGUCUUUAUAC
RNAcentral lists this ribosomal RNA (301 nucleotides) under uncultured bacterium. Its description in RNAcentral is "partial 16S ribosomal RNA". It matches the Rfam family "Archaeal small subunit ribosomal RNA", at positions 459 to 758 of the family's 1478-position model. The record is from RNAcentral.